AUCCACGACAAGCAUAGAGGACCCAUGAACUGAAACAGAGCACUGGUGUUAAGUUAGACCAGAGGAGCACACACACGGUCAGGUUUCAGGAACCACUGCUUCAUAAUUGUCCUUUUUAAACUGAGUGCUGGUUAAAUAAUCACAACCCUCUUAUUACAAGGUUAAGUUCAACUUGACACCAGCAAUAAUGGCUUGUAAUGAGCUAGAUUGGCUGAGACUGGACAUUAUGGAUUUGGUAGUGUAUAUACUAUAUACUGGAAAAUGGUAGCAUAGUCUUUGUAUGCUUAUUUUUUGAAUCGACAACACUCUACAGUCUUGAUGCUUAACUGUUGCUUUGAAAUAUUUGGAUCGCAUAUUAAACUAGAGUUUCAGUGUUGAAACUCGAUUCCUUGAAUCAAAGAGUUAAAUACUAGACAACAAGGUCACUUUGAUGCAAGCUAACCGUUUACAUGAGGCUUCAGCGUUUUGGAUUCUAGGUUUGAUGUUUACAUGAGACUAUUUUCCAGUUUACCUGAUCCAAUAUUUGCUGAUUGUAGACUUGUACUGUAUGCCAAUGAAGUCAGAUGACGUUUCUCAAUGGGGAAAGUUGGACAUUGUGUGUUAUCAGUUGUUUCUUCAUAGCACACAGCUAAAUUUCACAUUAUCUUCAUUGUAUAGCUGAUCCUCUGCCCCUCUGUAUUAAGCCUAGAAUCUGAAUAUUUUGUACUUUGACAGUUUAGCAUAUACCAUCUUCUUAGAUUUCUUCUAUUAAUGUUAAUAGAGUGUAUAAUCAUUAAGAACUAUUCCCAGCCAAAAUAAUUAAGCCCGUAUGAAAUACUUUAGUUGUACAACAACUUAAUUGCAUUAUUUCUAUUUUAUACAGCAGGAAGGACCCAGAUUAGUGAUGUUCAUAUGUACAGAAAACCGUACGAGAUUUUCAUGACAAUAUGUAUGAUCUCUACUUGUAAAGACUGGUACUUUAAGCCUAGAGUGACCCCUUUUGGAAAAUAUAAGAAAUUUUCAUCUUAGAAUGACCCAACGAAUUUCCCCAUUGAGAAUUUUUCAGCUUAGAAUGACCCAACAAUUUCCAGUUUACUUUAAGCUUGGAAUGACCCAACAAUUUCCAGUUUACUUUAAGCUUAGAAUGACCCAAUGAAGUGUACUUUGCAUCAUACAAAAGGAAAUUGUUGUGUACUCAGUAUGUACUUGCAAAAUAUAAGGAACACAUAUAUAAGAACAGUAAACCACGUCUAAAGUUUGUAUCUAUACAUAAUAUUUUGGUCUACUGAAUCUGGUUAUAUUAACUUGGUUGGUGGUCAUUGCUUCCUUUUUUAGCUAUUUGUACGCCGAUUUGAGCACACACAAUUAUUUUAAUUAUUCUACAGGGACAGAUGAGGCCGCCGCAAUCCCAUGCCUCGCUCAAUGUGUGAAUGGCCCCUCAGGAUAAUUUGCACCAAGUACUUCAGGUCAGCCUACUUAUGUUGUUUUAAGCACAAUCAUUCUAUUUUAAAUCAGUUGAAAAUAAAUUGAUCUAAAAUGCCUAAUUCAUUUCUUAGUCCUAUAAUUUUGGAUGUAAGGCGGCUUUCUCGAUCUUGGCCUUGAAGUUAGGAUGAUGCGCGACUGGCUUGAAAGGAGUUGGAGUUCUACCAAACAACUCGAAAGUCGGUGAUGUCUCCGUAGUUCUUCUACACAUAUUGUCACUGGUUUCCAUCACUUUUCUUUCCCAUAAAGACACCAAAUUCCAUGGGCGUCAUGAUGAUCACUAGAAAAAUGACUAUGUACAUAUUAAAUCUACAAGCAAUUGAUGCCCUGUUUAAUCACAAAAUCAAGGGUUUCGACUAAUGUUUAUUCAAAGCAUUUAUGUAUCAUUCAAUAUAAGUCAUUGUUUUAAAAUAAAUUUACUGAGCUAGAGACACGAG
Molecule: long non-coding RNA, 1898 nt
Filed under: Triticum aestivum (bread wheat)
Lineage: Eukaryota; Viridiplantae; Streptophyta; Magnoliopsida; Poales; Poaceae
Description: long non-coding RNA (TAES_LNC016226)
Source: RNAcentral